GGACUACCCGGGUUUCUAAUCCUGUUUGCUCCCCUAGCUUUCGUAGAUCAGCGUCAGUGAUGGCCCAGAAACCUGCUUUCGCCAUAGGUAUUCCUCCCGAUAUCUACGCAUUUCACCGCUACACCGGGAAUUCCAGUUUCCCCUACCACACUCUAGCCCGGUAGUUUCCCUUGACCUCUCCCAGUUGAGCCAGGAGCUUUCACAAGAGACUUACCGAACCGCCUACCUGCGCUUUACGCCUAGUGAUUCCGAGUAACGCUUGCCACCUACGUAUUACCGCGGCUGCUGGCAC
This 292-nucleotide ribosomal RNA is filed under the name uncultured bacterium. Its description in RNAcentral is "partial 16S ribosomal RNA". The record is from RNAcentral.